This is a non-coding RNA of Monodelphis domestica (gray short-tailed opossum), 48 nucleotides long. The record is from Rfam. Lineage: Eukaryota; Metazoa; Chordata; Mammalia; Didelphimorphia; Didelphidae.
AAACUGGCUUCAUUUUUGAAGCCACUAAUAUUUUCUUUAAAUAAUAAU